Molecule: ribosomal RNA, 522 nt
Filed under: uncultured archaeon
Lineage: Archaea
Description: bacterial SSU rRNA
Rfam family: Archaeal small subunit ribosomal RNA
Source: RNAcentral
UCUGAGACACGAAUCCAGGCCCUACGGGGUGCAGCAGGCGCGAAAACUUUACAAUGCUGGCAACAGCGAUAAGGGAACCUCGAGUGCCAGGUUACAAAUCUGGCUGUCGAGAUGCCUAAAAAGCAUUUCAUAGCAAGGGCCGGGCAGGACCGGUGCCAGCCGCCGCGGUAACACCGGCGGCUCGAGUGGUAACCGUUAUUAUUGGGUCUAAAGGGUCUGUAGCCGGCCGGAUAAGUCUCUUGAGAAAUCUGGCAGCUUAACUGUCAGGCUUUCAGGAGAUACUGUCUGGCUCGAGGCCGGGAGAGGUGAGAGGUACUUCAGGGGUAGGGGUGAAAUCUUGUAAUCCUUGAAGGACCACCAGUGGCGAAGGCGUCUCACCAGAACGGACCUGACGGCAAGGGACGAAAGCUAGGGGCACGAACCGGAUUAGAUACCCGGGUAGUCCUAGCCGUAAACGAUACUCGCUAGGUGUCGGCCACGGUGCGACCGUUGUCGGUGCCGUAGGGAAGCCGUGAAGCGAGC